UGUUUCGGCAAGGGGGUCAUCCCGACUUACCAACCCGAUGCAAACUGCGAAUACCGGAGAAUGUUAUCACGGGAGACACACGGCGGGUGCUAACGUCCGUCGUGAAGAGGGAAACAACCCAGACCGCCAGCUAAGGUCCCAAAGUCAUGGUUAAGUGGGAAACGAUGUGGGAAGGCCCAGACAGCCAGGAUGUUGGCUUAGAAGCAGCCAUCAUUUAAAGAAAGCGUAAUAGCUCACUGGUCGAGUCGGCCUGCGCGGAAGAUGUAACGGGGCUAAACCAUGCACCGAAGCUGCGGCAGCGACGCUGAUGCGUUGUUGGGUAGGGGAGCGUUCUGUAAGCCUGCGAAGGUGUGCUGUGAGGCAUGCUGGAGGUAUCAGAAGUGCGAAUGCUGACAUAAGUAACGAUAAAGCGGGUGAAAAGCCCGCUCGCCGGAAGACCAAGGGUUCCUGUCCAACGUUAAUCGGGGCAGGGUGAGUCGACCCCUAAGGCGAGGCCGAAAGGCGUAGUCGAUGGGAAACAGGUUAAUAUUCCUGUACUUGGUGUUACUGCGAAGGGGGGACGGAGAAGGCUAUGUUGGCCGGGCGACGGUUGUCCCGGUUUAAGCGUGUAGGCUGGUU
Molecule: ribosomal RNA, 618 nt
Filed under: Escherichia coli
Lineage: Bacteria; Pseudomonadati; Pseudomonadota; Gammaproteobacteria; Enterobacterales; Enterobacteriaceae
Description: partial 23S ribosomal RNA
Rfam family: Bacterial large subunit ribosomal RNA
Source: RNAcentral